UCACCAAUGAAGGAGUCGUCAGUCACAGAUGUAGGAGUAGGAGCUUCCCCCUCUCUAUUUGAUAUCCUAGCGAAUGCAUGUGCUCGAGCCAGCUUUGCUUCGCCCUUCUCUUAUCUCAUGGCUGGAUUUUCGCUAGCAGCUGGAAGCUAUACCCCUCGAAAGUUCACGUAUCUCCCUGCACGAUUCAAGCCUCCAUCGUUGAUCUAUCAUCUAUGACUUCGCUGCAUCUUCCUCACAUGCCUUUCCUUCAGCCACCGAUGCACAUCCCUCUUCUAGCUCUACGAUUCGUCCUUCACCUAGCCUUUUGCGUGAGAUGUACGCAUAUCUUCCCCAUUUUCUGUGGUUGUUUGAGCUACUACUAGAUUAAAAAAUCUAGCUACUCAAGGUGCUUUCCAGUUGUUUGAUUCGAAAGCUUCAAGAUCUUGCUGGAUUCUCUAUGGUUUAUUUGCUUUCCUUGGUAUCUUCAUCCUUAGGCAGGUUACCAAAUAAAUAAGAGCUCUCUAAAACUCCAAACUUCAAUAAGCAAGUUGAAGACCUGACAUUAAGGUUGCUUAUUGAAAACAAGUCCAAUGGGGAAUUUGGGUAUCUUGCUUACACUCUUGAUUGAAGGAGGCAUCUUUGGAGUUAAUAUAUUGAUUAUCAAGGGGCUUUCAUGUAGGAUUUAUUCUCUAUGGGUUGUGAAAGUCCAAAGCAAGCAGAGACCAGAAUGUUGUAAAAGCCUGAGCACAUGAAUAGGCGAUGAAGAAGAACUCUGCUGAUAUUGAAAUGACUUUGGGGAAAGGAAUUUUCUGAUAGAGAGCAUGUUUAGACUUGAAGUCCAGAUUAGAACAUAAGAAAUUGAUUUGAUAGCCAAUAGGUGCAUUGGUGCUCAUGAUAGUGGGAGAGAAUUUGUGACCAACUUGGUUGGAAGUGCAAUUCCUGGUUCUAAAAGCCCAAGAGGUAAGGCAAGAAUGACAACAUCUCAGAUAAAAGGUGGCUAUGAUUUACAUACGACCUGAUACUAUGAGCUAGCUGCCUUGGGAGGUUUUAGUAAACUUUCUGAUUUUCUAAUUUUUGGGUUUGAUGGGGUCGUUGUGUGCUUGUCCUGAUCAUUGACUCUCAUGUUUAAUGAAUUCAACUAACAAAAGAUGGCUUCACUUAGCCUCUUCUACUGAAUGUCCUUUAUUAAGGGAGCAACACGAAUCUGAGCUGCAUUUGUUUAGAGACCGGCAAGUGAUCCAGCCUGUUUGAGAGAUGAGGCUCAACAAUGGAUUUUGGAUUAGGCUCCUAAUGUUACUAUGGCUGAACUUUAUUUAUAUUUGGAGUAGUAGUUGUUAAAUCAAUUAGUCAAAUGUAAGUUAUUGGAGUAAUUUUAAAUUGGACAUUUUCUUGGGAUCUCAUGACUGUUACUCUUUGGGAUGGUGCUUAAGUUGUUACUCUUUGACAUUGUUAA
This is a long non-coding RNA of Lotus japonicus, 1432 nucleotides long. RefSeq lists it as uncharacterized. Lineage: Eukaryota; Viridiplantae; Streptophyta; Magnoliopsida; Fabales; Fabaceae. The transcript is spliced from 7 exons. The record is from RefSeq and is a predicted model, not a curated record.